GAUGAACGCUGGCGGCGUGCUUAACACAUGCAAGUCGAACGGAGAAAGGGUAGCUUGCUAUCUUUUCUUAGUGGCGGACGGGUGAGUAACGCGUGGGUAACCUGCCCUUUGCAGGGGGAUAACAGUGAGAAAUCACUGCUAAUACCGCAUACCAACUUCUUUCGCAUGAAGGAAGUUUGAAAGAUUUAUCGGCAAAGGAUCGGACCCGCGUUGGAUUAGCUAGUUGGUGGGGUAACGCCUACCAAGGCAACGAUCAGUAGCCGGCCUGAGAGGGUGAACGGCCACAUUGGGACUGAGACACGGCCCAGACUCCUACGGGAGGCAGCAGUGGGGAAUAUUGCACAAUGGGCGAAAGCCUGAUGCAGCGACGCCGCGUGAGUGAAGAAGUAUUCGGUAUGUAAAGCUCUAUCAGCAAGGAAGAUAAUGACGGUACUUGACUAAGAAGCCCCGGCUAACUACGUG
Molecule: ribosomal RNA, 462 nt
Filed under: uncultured bacterium
Lineage: Bacteria
Description: bacterial SSU rRNA
Rfam family: Bacterial small subunit ribosomal RNA
Source: RNAcentral